GAAAGAAGAAAAAAAAAAAAGUCGUGCGUUCCCACACGGACCUAAAAGCGGGACGGACAAGGAAAAAAAAAAAAGAGAAGACGGAAGUUAAAGCCGUCAAACAAAGAGGACAGGAGUUUGGGAUCUUUUGAAUCACAGAUCCUAGUCAACCUGUGUACAACUGGAUGAUCUUUUAGAUGAGCAGAGAGGCAGCCGGUUUUUACCUGCAUCCUCUGGAUCAAUGGUGAACAUGUCCAUACACUGAAAUAAAUGGAAGUAAAAGCAA
This is a long non-coding RNA of Xiphophorus couchianus (Monterrey platyfish), 265 nucleotides long. RefSeq lists it as uncharacterized. The transcript has 2 exons. The record is from RefSeq and is a predicted model, not a curated record. Lineage: Eukaryota; Metazoa; Chordata; Actinopteri; Cyprinodontiformes; Poeciliidae.